This 250-nucleotide ribosomal RNA is filed under the name uncultured bacterium. Its description in RNAcentral is "partial 16S ribosomal RNA". It matches the Rfam family "Bacterial small subunit ribosomal RNA", at positions 524 to 773 of the family's 1533-position model. The record is from RNAcentral.
UACAGAGGGUGCAAGCGUUAAUCGGAUUUACUGGGCGUAAAGCGUGCGUAGGCGGUUCAGUAUGUCGGUCGUGAAAUCCCCGGGCUUAACCUGGGAACUGCGGCCGAAACUGCUGGGCUUGAGUGUGGUAGAGGAAGGUGGAAUUCCAGGUGUAGCGGUGAAAUGCGUAGAUAUCUGGAGGAACACCGAUGGCGAAGGCAGCCUUCUGGGCCACAACUGACGCUGAGGUACGAAAGCGUGGGUAGCAAAC